GACUUGUCGGGCGAUUAGACAUUAAACUACAUAGAGACAGUGUGAGGCAGACUCGCGAGGCUGCUAAGGAUUGUCGGUUUUUUGACGAGAUCAAAGGUGCCUCGCAGUUUUAACUAUGUAAUCUACAUGCAGACAGUGCGAGGAACGCACAUAGCUUUUAUACGUAGCUUUAUAGCGUCACUUUGAAUUCAUCGAGCAAAGAUUCGUAGGUGUCAGAUAUCAAUGCAGAUGUUAAUUUCAUCCCCAUAAAUAUCGCAUAGAAAGAUUCACUUCUACAUUAAUUACGAUACAUGUAUGUACUUGUUUAUCUAAAGAAAACUUUGUUGCUCAUUUUGCGAGACAUAAUUUCGAGACAAAAUAAAAUCAUUGCAAGUUGAAUC
Molecule: unclassified non-coding RNA, 380 nt
Filed under: Bombus terrestris (buff-tailed bumblebee)
Lineage: Eukaryota; Metazoa; Arthropoda; Insecta; Hymenoptera; Apidae
Description: misc RNA ENSBTSG00005034036.1
Source: RNAcentral